Meriones unguiculatus (Mongolian gerbil) is the source of this 5925-nucleotide long non-coding RNA. RefSeq lists it as uncharacterized. NCBI's taxonomy places the organism in Eukaryota, Metazoa, Chordata, Mammalia, Rodentia, Muridae. The transcript is spliced from 3 exons. The record is from RefSeq and is a predicted model, not a curated record.
GACAAAUCUGCAGCCCUAGAAACUGGUGAUGAUAGAGGGGAGCCAACGUGAAACACAAGGCCCCACUGAUGAUGCUGAAAUCUUCAGGGAAAAUAGCACAGUGAGUGCAGGGCAGAUGAGCUCUGCCUUCCUCCACAUCAGACAAGAAAUCCAGAUUGUGUGCUUCAUAGGGAGCUGAAGGAUUAGUCCUUGGGUGGCCAUACUUCCACUCCUUUGUCAUAGAGCAAGGAGGGUUGGUCCCUGAUGGAUAAGGACUUAGAUGGAAUUGAAUGCCUUCUAAUGAUCUCCCUUGGACUUCCCAACAGGACAAGAGCAAAGACAAGUCCCAGAUACAGAGUUUUAAGAAGCUUUCUCUACGAUCCUCCUCUACUCAGUAAGGUCUCUGCUCCAUGAUGAACUUUACGAGGAGGCUGAGCCUUACUUCAGGAUUGCUAUGUAUAAUGACCUGAAGUUAACACAAGAGCUCAUCUUACAAUCUUGUAGAGAACUGUGGCCAUCUGAAGACUUAAAUCCACCUGUGUAUUCACGUAGAAUUGUGGGUCUCUCAUUGGCCUGGAACUCACCAAGUAGGUUGGGCUUACUGGCCAGCAAACCCAGGGACCCACUUGUCUCCAUAUUGCCUGCACUGGACUGAAGAUCACCAUGCCUGGCCUGCUUUCUUUCUUUUUAAUUCUUAAUUUCUACUUGGUGUGCACUCAGCCCAAAGAUUGGGUUGCCCACUGUGAAUUUGAUAGUUUGGAUAGAUUUAGUUUUUCUUCUUCUUUUUUUUUUUUUUGUUUGUUUUUUGAGUCAGCCAGUUCACAUUUUCUAUCCUUCAAGUGUCUGCGUUUGAUUCCUUAGGCCCCUCACAUUCUCAGUGGCAAUAUCUUCCUGGGAUGGGUUCAUCUGACCCUCGUUUUCCCUUGCUAGUCUUGCUACUCCUGAAAGUACCUUUGUAUAGCCACCGGACUGUCCUGUUGGGGGUUAUUCUACAUUUUGUGAAGGAAGUGGCUGUUUCUAGUUGUUUGCAUGAGGCUCCUUCAAGGGGAGAGUGAAACAGCCCUCCAGGCCAGCAGCCCUUCUCCUUAGCUCACAGUUGAGCCCCUCAUGACUCAGGGCUCAGCGUGGGUGCACUGCCUGCACCUUUGUUUCUGCAGAGCUCAGUUGCCGAGCUGUUCAUAAUUUAAGGUCCGCUUCCUUCACCCUGCUUCAAAGCCACAUUGCUUCUUGACAUGAGUAAUGUUUCCUUGCUCAGCGCCACCGCCUCUAUGGUCUUCCCAGUCAGAGAGAGGUCACAGAAGCCACACCACCCCCACCCGCAGAGGCUCUGACACCUUGUUCCCACUGUCCCCAACAGGUUUUGCCCCUUGUGUCACACUUGUGUUGAAGAACUUCACUGUUUGAUUUAUUUGCUGUCCUCAGUCACAGAUGUCUUGGUAGGUGUUCCACUGUACCCUUUGACCUUUUCUGCAGGCAGUUCUUCUCAAAUUUUGUAACCUCAAAGUUACAGGAGUCUCUCCUCGCUUUAUCAAAGGUUGUUUUCUUCUUUUUUAGUUUUCACUGAUGCUUAGCGAAACCAUUGAGAGGCAUUUUUAGUCAGGUAUUUUCUAAUCAAGCAUCAAAACGUCUGUUUUGAGAAGCCCAUUAUUACUUUAUUAAGAUUAACUGAUCUAAGUGGCAUAUUUGUAAAUUUUAAGAAUUCUGCAAUUUUCAGAAAUGCCACAUGAAGUUUAUAAAUUUAUUCUGGUCCCCUAAUACUUGUUACCUUCUAUCUUUCAUAUGCUCUUAUUAAUAUAUACAAAAGCUUUGCCUACUUGCAUUCUAACAUGAUUUGCCUCCUAAGGCACAAUUUUAAUUAUUGGGUGAUAUAUAAUUGUAUCUUCUUUGAGAGUCUCCCAUUGUUGUUUUGUUUCUUUUGAUAGCUUUUUAACCUUGUGUGGGUAAUAUGUCCUGCUGUCUCCAGCAGGGUUAGUGAGUGUGCACUUGUGUCUCGCCAAACAUCUUGAAGAACUGCACUGUUUGAUGUAUUUGCUAUCCUCAGGCACAGAUGUCUUUUCCUUCAAGGUAUAGGGCAUGUAUGUUUCUCAGUCAUUUGAAAGUUUUGUUUUAUUUUUUGCUGUAAUUUUUAUUGUUAAUUUUAUAUUUGAUAUUACAUAUAUUAGUCUACACAGAUGUAUAUGAUGUUCUAUGAUUAUCUUCACCCCUUACUCUUGUUCUCCUCCAACUCCUGUUCACCUUGUCUGCUUCUCAGCUCCUUUCCUACUUCUAUGAGUAAAAAAAAAUAUUCUUCUAGAUUAACUUCAGAAUCAUGUGUUGAGUUUCCAAAACUAAACCGUCAAGCCCACUGGGACUGCAGUGAGUUUAUUUUUUUGUUUGGGGGGAAAACUGACAUGUUGAUAAUAUUAAAUCUUUGUUGGUAACAUGAUAUAGUUCUCCAUUUAAAAACAUUUUUAUUUUAUGUCCUUUAAUAAAAAUAUUGUGGCUUUCUUCAAAAUUCUGCACAUCCCUAUUGACCUUAACUCUUAGGUAAUGUUUAUUGACAUGCUGUUAGUAAUGUGUUUAUUGACAUACUGUUUUCAGUGUGUUAAAUAGUAAUAUGUUUUGUUUUGUUUUAAGGAAGAAAGACUUUAUUGUGGCACUGUUCCAGAGGAUUGAUUCCAUUAUAGCAAGGAAGGCAGCUAAAUCAGGAAGCUUACUGAUCUCAACAUUUUUAUCCAUACACAGGAAGUAGAGAUGUACAAAAGGAAGCAGGGUGAAGCUAUAAUCCCUUAAGGCCCAUGUCCAGGAACUGUAUUUCCUCCAGCAAGGCUCUACCUCCUAAAUGCUCAACUACCUCCCAAAACAAAGGACCAAGAUUUCAAAGUCAUAAUACCGUGAAAGUCAUUUCUCAUUCAAACCUCAAUACUCACUGAAGGACUCCGUGAAUGUAUUCUAAUUCAUUAUUGCUGCAAUAUGGUGAAAUACUGAGUUUUAUCUUGUAAUGACUACAUUUGAUGUAAAGGUAUAGUGUCUCCCAUAGGCAUAUGUGAAGGCAGGCUUUGAAAUGAGGGCUCAGUGGAGAAACUGGUCACUGGGGCCAAGCUCGCGAUUUCUUAGCCCAGCAGCACUUCUGGUCUGCUGUCUCCUCCUGCCUGGGCAUAUAGUGUGGCCAGCUAGCUCACAUUCCUGCUGCGCCUUUGCCACUGAGAUGAGCUGUAUCCCCUUGUGCUGUGAUCCAAAAUUAAUUCUUCCUUCCUUAAUUUAAUUCUUGCUGGAUACUUGAUCAUGGCAUAGGAAAAGGAGCUAGUACCACUUUGUUAAAUUUCCCAUUGUUUUUAGUUGUUUUCGGGUAAUUGUUUUGAGUUUUAUACAUCAUUAAUGUUAUCUACAUGUGUUUGUUUUUCUCCCUUUUUCUGACAUUCAUUUAAUAAUUUUCUUUUCUUAAUCCAUUUUUAUUGAUGAACUUUCUCAAUAAAUCCAGCAGGCAUUUUUUUAUCACAGUAGGAAUGACUCCUCUACUUUAUUAUUGUUAGUGUAUUUAUAUAGACUACAUACAGGUGGGUUUAUUAAAAAUAUUCUUGCUGGGCCUAGACAGUGUGCUGACCUAGAAACCAAGUGAAAACUGCAUUUGAUAUGUGACGCAAUUGUUAUCUGUGUCAAAUACCAAUGAUUAGUCAAGGAAGAAAGGAAUGUGAUUAACUAUGAGGUAUAUCAAGCAUUAGACCACAAUGACCUGGACAUAGGUUGUUCCAGAGGAGUGGUUAGGCUUCAUACAAAUUUUUAGUCAUUGUGUGAAAUAACAAUGUUUAGAUAAAAAUAUUAAAAAUUGAAAAUAAAAGUGAGGGGAGAAAUCUUAAGUGAACUUUGAAAAUUCAAAACUUUGAUAAGCACCUCAAAGUGGUACAGUUUACUUAAACCCGAGAAAAUACUUCAGUGGAAGUGCAUCAUCACCACUGAUCAAAUCUUUAGGUCCAAGACUUAAAGCCAAAAGAUACUUUUCUUAGAGAGAAAGGAUAAAGCCUAGCAUUGUGGUGGCUACAUUACCACACAGGUGCUUUUGCCUUCAGAGUAGCUGAAAUGGAUCUUGUCUUUCCAUGAGUAAGAUGUUCAUCUUGUCAACCUAGCAUGACAGAGAGGCAUCAGCGAUAUAAGGAGAGCGUAGUUCUGGGUACACUAAGGGCAUUUACAGCUAGUAUUCACAAGCAUGGGGCAUUUGCCCUAAAUGUGGGUGAUAUUAAACCAAAGGCUUGAGAUCUAAGUGGAAUACCAGAGGCACAGGAGUAAGCCUUCAAGCACGGACGUUCUUGUCUCUCUGCUUCUUAGAUGCUCUAAUGUGAGGGGCUUGCCACAGAGGGCUGAAAGCGCCAGCAACAUAAGCCAAAACAACCAAGUGAGUUGUUUAUGUCAGAUAUGCUAUGACAGUAAUGAAAAGUGACUAUGAGCCAUUGGCAAUUUCAAGGUAAUUGUAGCAGCUAGAAGAGCAAUUUAGCAGCUAGCUGAAGAUCACCUUGAGAAACUGUUCAUGCAAUAUAAUAUCAAAAUCUGAAACAAGGAGUGCUGAAAAGAGUGAGACUGUAGUAGCUACAUUUGAAAAAUAGCAUUUUAUUUCAUCCCUGUAUUUCAGAAUUUUCUUCAGUGAUGAUUGAUUUUGACUGUGGCUUUUCAGACAUUACUCCCCAUUCGCAGCUCCAUCUGCGCAGUCCUCUCCCUGGCAGGUAGGUUUUCCCAUUUCUGACACUUGGAGUCUUGCUCCUCCACCCAGCUGACUAAGCGCCUCUUCCAUGGUCCAGUUGGCGACAGGAUUUUCUGGUCUGCUAGGCAGUUCUACUCAUUUGCGCGCAUUCUUGUUUCUAUACUUGACUUGCUUUUACCUUCUCAUUAUUGUCUUUAAAAUCUAGCAUAGGAGAAAGCAAGUAACAGGACAGGAGCCUACCGCAGAGGGCCUCUAGCUCUAUCUAGCAGUGUAUCACAGCAGAUGCUGAGACUCAUAACCAAAUUUUAGGCAGAGUGCAUGAAAGAAGGGGGAGUUAGUAUGACCUGGAGAGGACAGGAACUCCACAAGGAUCAAAUAAAUAUAUCAGGGCACAGGGGUCUUUUAUGAGACUGUUUCUCCAUCAAGGACCAUAUAUGAAUAUAACCUAGAACCCCUGCUUGGAUGUAGCCCAUAAUAGCUCAGUAUCCAAGUGGGUUCCCUAGUAAAAGGAAUAAGGAUUAUUUCUGACAUGAACUCAAUGACUGGCUCUUUGACCUCCUCCCCCCUGCCCCCCUCCCCCCACUGAGGGAAGAGCAGCCUUGCUAGGCCACAGAUUAGGACAUUGCAACCAGUCCUGAAGAUACCUGAUAAGCUAGGGUCAGGUGAAAGGGGAGGAGGACCUCACCUAUCAGUGGUCUUGGAAGGGGGCAGGGAGGAGAUGAGGAAGGGAAGGUGGGAUUGGGAGGGAAACGGGGAGAGGGCUAUGGCUAGGAUACAAAUGAAUGACCUGUGAUUAAUAUAAAAAAAUAAAAUAUAAAAAAAAUAUCUAGCUCUGGGAUUACCUUCCCUAUGAACCAGAUCCAUAUUCCACCAGCAGAGCCUACCUCUACCUCUCCUUUCUCUCCAAAGCUCUUUGAGUUGUUCUCUUUUCUGGUCUUUAUCACUGUGCUUUCCCCCAUAAAACUUGGCUCCGUUUUAUAGCACUCCUCAAGAACCGGCACAUGCAUGCCAUUAAUAUGCCGUCAAAGCACAAGUGAGGCAGAGGAAGUGGCAUCCACAAGCCAGGUUUCUGACUGGUGAAAGAGUGAGAGAAGACUUGAAGAUGAAACCCCAACUGUGGCAAGUUUUGUCAUAGGAAAUCAAAGACUGUCAGUACUAAUCAAAUGAGAGGAAAGACUGGAAGAAGCAUUAAAAAAAAAAAGAGACUAGUCAGGAACUUUUGUCAGAGGUCAAUGAGAAAAAAUGUUUACUAAUUAAAAAGCAUGUGCACUGAA